Long non-coding RNA from Falco peregrinus (peregrine falcon), 2543 nucleotides. RefSeq lists it as uncharacterized. The record is from RefSeq and is a predicted model, not a curated record. Lineage: Eukaryota; Metazoa; Chordata; Aves; Falconiformes; Falconidae. The transcript has 2 exons.
AGAAGAAAAAAAAAAAGAAAAAGUAUAAUCCUGGUGAUAUUGUCAGACAUAAGUGAAGUGCUUUACAAAGUGUUUCAUUUGGGGCAUUUCAUCAAGUCAAAUAUAUAGUAGAUCUGUGAAACAACAGAAUUUUUUUCUUGUUAGGACCUUUCAGGAUAUGAAAUUAUCAAAUGAUUCUGCCCUGUUCCUUAAUAACUGGUUGAAUGUGUGUUCCUCAGAUAGACCAUUUCCUUACCUAACUGGUGUGGAGGUGGUUACAUGCUCUCUGUAACACAGUGAUAUGUGAAGGCUUCAGAGGGCACAAUCUAGUCCUACAGUCAUCUGCAGCUGAGUCACAUUCUGGUUAUAAAAAGAAGAUACCACAGGUACUGAGAACUAUCUUCUUCCAGUUUGUAAGGAUGAAGAGUGGAAGGACACUGACAACUGAUGAUUUAUAAAAUCCAACCAGCUCAGCUGGUGCUCAUAAAGAAGCAAAAAAAGCAUGAAAGAAGCUCAUGUUAUUCCAGGUGAUAUGACAGAGACAGGUAGAGAGCAAAAUGGUUUUAGACCCCUGAAGCUUCUGCAGACAUGGAAAAUAACUUCUUCUGAUUUUGUGAGAUCUGUGUUGACUUGAUAACUAUCAUACAGAAGCUGUUUAAUCCUUCAGGUAUAGGAAAAUACAUCAGCAUCCAGACAAUUAUUUGCUCCUGUUUCUGGAAUACUUAACAAAAUUGUGGUGCCUAGGCAUAGCCGUGUUUUUAAGCUUUGCUUGUUUACCUAGUCAUGCCUUUGGUGCAGUCAAGUCUGGACAAACUUCCUUGCUCCAGCAAUUCUUGAUUUCAGCUUGGCUAGAGUAGUGUUAGUAUAUUUUUGCUUUAAAUGAGGGAAGAAUAGCCAGGAUUAUGUCUCUCUUACUUUGCUUGUGGCAUGAGAAAAUGUUCAUUUUUAUUUCAGUCUUUCUCAAAUAUUAGUUUGGGGGUUGUUCUUUUUCUUUUUGUUGUUGUUAGAAAACUCUGUUAGGAAAUGUUGAAGUGGACAUUUGCCAAAGUCUUCAUAUAGAAAUAAUGAUAAUCAGUAUGCUGUGUCACCAAAAAAUGUAAGUUGUUUUUUUGUAUGUAUGGAAUUAGUUUUGGUUAUCAAUCAAGUUUUCCUCAGCUUUUUGUUUGCUCUCUCAAUCACGAUUUUGAACUAAGCUUAAAACUGACUAAUCAAUACAGACUGCCUAAAUUCCUGUCUCAUUUCUUUGAACAAGGAUGAGAGGACAGAAACAAAGGCAAGUGAUAUUUUCUUACCACUCCUCUCACUAUCAAAGGUCUCCCACACCUAAUACGUAAUGAAAUAUCUGGAAAUGUCCAUAUGGCUCCUGUGGCAUUUAGCACUAUUAAUUUUAUUUUGUCUGGGUUUGAAACUUUAUGAAGUAUAAUGUUCUCUAACCUUUCAAAAACAUUAAUUGGUGUGAUGUCAAUGUUUCCUAAGCGCUCAGCCUUUGUUAUUGUAAACCUGACUCUUGUUUACAAAAGCCCAGGCUGAAAUUCACUGACUUGCAGGAAAAAAAAAAAAAAAAACAGAAGAAAGAAGAAAAAGAAUAUUUUGCAUCUUAACACUUUCUGUAUUUUCUCUUUAAAAUUCCAUUCCUCUUUGACAAGUAAAAUAACUUUUUAUGUGUGUUUAUUUCAAAUUCUUUGCUGUAUCUUGAACCAUUGCUGUUAUUUAUCUUAACAUUUUAACCUGUGCUAGCUGUAUAAAAUUUAAUUUUUUCUAUUGUAGUUGUACCAAAAACAUCCCUUCCACUCUUGAUUUUUGUUUAGUACAAACUGAAGCUGAUUUAUAUGGUUGAAGAUUCAUCUCCUAGUAGAAAACUGUAACUGUACAAUUUAUAUUGGCAAGUUGCCCCUAAUUGUCAAUUUUUACUUUUUCACUAUUUCUUUGAUAUGAUAAACAUUUCUUUUUUCUAUAGUGUUACACUUUUUCUUUUUUCAAGUUACUCAUCUGCAGAACUGAAAAAAAAUAUUAAAACCCCUGAAAAUCUUAGUUACGUCUUUAGAAUUGCUGGUCUCUGUUGCAGGUUGUGACAUAGUCUGUUUGCAUGCUGAAUAUUGAAAGCAACGCUGAAACAAUCACAGUCAUGCUAUCAACUCCAGCUUGGAAGCACAGCAGCAGCUGAGAUGCAGCAGUCCUUUCCAAUAGUUGUGGUAUGCCUAGAGAGGAAAGAUACUGCUCUGUCAGUGAAAAUGUGAAUUUUGGUCUAUUGUGUGAAUACUCUGAAUCUACAUGCAGUGUCAGAAAGUUUUCAGUGUGGGAGCAAAGUACCUUAUUGGUCAUAAGGAUGACCAUAUGUUGGUGCUGGUAUGAAAUCACUGACAUGCUGUUAAUUCAUCUGCAUCCAUGGGACCGUAACUUCUUCCUUGGAAAAGUAUGGACAGGUAGCUGCUGAUGUAUUAAGAACUUUUAGUAACAAUCACUAUGUCCUCACUAACUUAUUCUUUUAAAUAAACUUCAUCAUUAAAAAUGCAGUAAUUUUAUCACUGAAUUAGUGAUACUAAUAAAAUAUUUAAUUAAGUCAA